Molecule: long non-coding RNA, 365 nt
Organism: Cyprinus carpio carpio
Lineage: Eukaryota; Metazoa; Chordata; Actinopteri; Cypriniformes; Cyprinidae
Source: Ensembl
CCGGCAGCGGUGGAAUGAAGGCCGUGCGGUGAGGGCAGGCUUUCCAAGAAGGAAAGAGGGAAAAACAUUUGUUUGGAUUCUGAUGACUGAUAUAUGUGGAUGAAUGAGAGCUUAAGAAAGUUAUAUCCACAUGACCAACAAUGAAAAAGGCCUUUUUGAAUUCACUUUUCAAGUGUCAGUCUCUGUUUGAUAAGACACCUGGAUAAUUCAUCUGAUUGUUCUGUCAGAAAGCACAGAGGUCUCUUGUGCUCAGCCUUCCCUGCCUACAGGAGGACCCCCAGCAUGCUUGACAGUCGGGAUAAUAUUUGUGUGGAAUAGGCUGUGUUGGUUUGGCAAAUAUUUCUUUUGGAUUUUCUGCCAUGAUU